Molecule: ribosomal RNA, 740 nt
Filed under: Mycobacteroides abscessus
Lineage: Bacteria; Bacillati; Actinomycetota; Actinomycetes; Mycobacteriales; Mycobacteriaceae
Description: bacterial SSU rRNA
Rfam family: Bacterial small subunit ribosomal RNA
Source: RNAcentral
ACGCGGCGGUGCUUACCAUGCAAGUCGAACGGAAAGGCCCUUCGGGGUACUCGAGUGGCGAACGGGUGAGUAACACGUGGGUGAUCUGCCCUGCACUCUGGGAUAAGCCUGGGAAACUGGGUCUAAUACCGGAUAGGACCACACACUUCAUGGUGAGUGGUGCAAAGCUUUUGCGGUGUGGGAUGAGCCCGCGGCCUAUCAGCUUGUUGGUGGGGUAAUGGCCCACCAAGGCGACGACGGGUAGCCGGCCUGAGAGGGUGACCGGCCACACUGGGACUGAGAUACGGCCCAGACUCCUACGGGAGGCAGCAGUGGGGAAUAUUGCACAAUGGGCGCAAGCCUGAUGCAGCGACGCCGCGUGAGGGAUGACGGCCUUCGGGUUGUAAACCUCUUUCAGUAGGGACGAAGCGAAAGUGACGGUACCUACAGAAGAAGGACCGGCCAACUACGUGCCAGCAGCCGCGGUAAUACGUAGGGUCCGAGCGUUGUCCGGAAUUACUGGGCGUAAAGAGCUCGUAGGUGGUUUGUCGCGUUGUUCGUGAAAACUCACAGCUUAACUGUGGGCGUGCGGGCGAUACGGGCAGACUAGAGUACUGCAGGGGAGACUGGAAUUCCUGGUGUAGCGGUGGAAUGCGCAGAUAUCAGGAGGAACACCGGUGGCGAAGGCGGGUCUCUGGGCAGUAACUGACGCUGAGGAGCGAAAGCGUGGGUAGCGAACAGGAUUAGAUACCCUGGUAGUC